AGUGGACGCUGGCGGUAGGCCUAACACAUGCAAGUCGAACGGCAGCACAGAGGAGCCUGCUCCUUGGGUGGCGAGUGGCGGACGGGUGAGGAAUACAUCGGAAUCUACUCUGUCGUGGGGGAUAACGUAGGGAAACUUACGCUAAUACCGCAUACGACCUACGGGUGAAAGCAGGGGACGUUCGGGCCUUGCGCGAUUGAAUGAGCCGAUGUCGGAUUAGCUAGUUGGCGGGGUAAAGGCCCACCAAGGCGACGAUCCGUAGCUGGUCUGAGAGGAUGAUCAGCCACACUGGAACUGAGACACGGUCCAGACUCCUACGGGAGGCAGCAGUGGCGAAUAGUGGACAAUGGGCGCAGGCCUGAUCCAGCCAUACCGCGUGGGUGAAGAAUGCCUUCGGGUUGUAAAGCCCUUUUGUUGGGAAAGAAAUCCAGCUGGCUAAUACCCGGUUGGGAUGACGGUACCCAAAGAAUAAGCACCGGCUAACUUCGUGCCAGCCGCCGCCGUAA
RNAcentral lists this ribosomal RNA (506 nucleotides) under uncultured bacterium. RNAcentral describes it as "partial 16S ribosomal RNA". It matches the Rfam family "Bacterial small subunit ribosomal RNA", at positions 29 to 523 of the family's 1533-position model. The record is from RNAcentral.